RNAcentral lists this non-coding RNA (193 nucleotides) under Rhizobium sp. CECT 9324. Lineage: Bacteria; Pseudomonadati; Pseudomonadota; Alphaproteobacteria; Hyphomicrobiales; Rhizobiaceae. The record is from RNAcentral.
CUACAAGAUUGACGAUCAGGUGCCCGCAGUCUUGCGGGAGAAUCGGGAAGCCGGCGCAAAUCCGGCACGUGCCCAACGCUGUAAGGUGGAUGCGCGCGCAAGGGGAAACCCGGCCACUGGUGGACAAGACCGGGAAGGCGGCGUGUGCAGCAGAUGCCAAGUCAGAAGACCGGCCUGAUGAGAUAGACUUGCC